UACAGAGGUCCCAAGCGUUGUUCGGAUUCACUGGGCGUAAAGGGUGCGUAGGUGGUCGGGUAAGUUUAAGGUGGAAGCUCCGGGCUCAACCCGGAAAUGGCCUUGAAUACUAUCCGGCUCGAGGGUUGGAGGGGGGACUGGAAUUCUCGGUGUAGCAGUGAAAUGCGUAGAUAUCGAGAGGAACACCAGUGGCGAAGGCGAGUCCCUGGACAACACCUGACACUGAGGCACGAAAGCUAGGGGAGCAAACGGG
Molecule: ribosomal RNA, 253 nt
Filed under: uncultured bacterium
Lineage: Bacteria
Description: partial 16S ribosomal RNA
Rfam family: Bacterial small subunit ribosomal RNA
Source: RNAcentral